GCUUCGAAAAAACUACGCAGGUAAAGCAGUGAAUUAGGAAAGAAAGGAUACCUGAUUUCCUCGACCGGUGUACUUGAGCUGACACGAUUCAAACCCAUGACGGCGGCGGAAGAGGUUGUGAAUCUCACGAGCUUUAACAUCAUCAGGAAGUCCCGAGACAAACAGCGUUUUUAUAUCAUUCUGCUCAUUUUUGUACGCAUAUACUGGUUGAGGUACGUAGUAAGGAUCGUACGCCGGUAGGUGAGCCAUCUUCACGGGGGCCGGGGCCGGCGCCGGUCGCAGUAGAGGAGGUAAAUGCAAGGGCCUUAGACGGUAAAUUACGAUAUACUCGCCUGAAUUUCACA
Molecule: unclassified non-coding RNA, 344 nt
Filed under: Hevea brasiliensis (rubber tree)
Lineage: Eukaryota; Viridiplantae; Streptophyta; Magnoliopsida; Malpighiales; Euphorbiaceae
Source: RNAcentral